CCUACGGGCGGCUGCAGUGGGGAAUAUUGGACAAUGGGGGAAACCCUGAUCCAGCAAUGCCGCGUGUGUGAAGAAGGCCUGCGGGUUGUAAAGCACUUUCGGUUGGGAAGAAAAGUUUGGCGCCAAUACCGCCGAACCUUGACGUUACUGACAGAAGAAGCACCGGCUAACUCUGUGCCAGCAGCCGCGGUAAUACAGAGGGUGCAAGCGUGGAUCGGAAUGACUGGGCGUAAAGAGGGCGUAGGUGGGUGAAAGCCCCGGGCUUAACCGUGGAACAGCAUUCGAUACUACAUGGCUAGAGUAUGGUAGAGGGAAGUGGAAUUUCCGGUGUAGCGGUGAAAUGCGUAGAUAUCGGAAGGAACACCAAUGGCGAAGGCAGCUUCCUGGACUAAUACUGACACUGAGGCACGAAAGCGUGGGUAGCAAACAGGAUUAGAUACCCCUGUAGUC
This 450-nucleotide ribosomal RNA is filed under the name uncultured bacterium. RNAcentral describes it as "partial 16S ribosomal RNA". It matches the Rfam family "Bacterial small subunit ribosomal RNA", at positions 338 to 795 of the family's 1533-position model. The record is from RNAcentral.